Gasterosteus aculeatus aculeatus (three-spined stickleback) is the source of this 1256-nucleotide long non-coding RNA. NCBI's taxonomy places the organism in Eukaryota, Metazoa, Chordata, Actinopteri, Perciformes, Gasterosteidae. The record is from Ensembl.
UAUGUGUUAGAUUUGUUUACACGCGCAGUGGUUUCAUCCUGUUGAGACUAAUUGAUUGGUGCCGGAGUGAAUCUCCUUGUUGAGUCAUGGGACCUUGUCAUUUACAGCUCGCCUGCUGUUAUGAAGAGCUGUCAAUGAGAAGAAUAUUUUGGUCUGACCUUUCACAAUCAAGAUUUAAUUUUAAAAAAAGCGCAAGGAAUCCGUUCUGUUUGCUUGCAUGGGACAGAAAAUGGAAGAUGACGGAGCAACCGAAACCAUUUCUGGUGAUUAAAAUAAUAUCCGUUUGACACUGAUCAAGCGAUAGCAGUUGAUGCUUUUCAUGCAUUCUCUGGACUUAUGUGCGGCGAUCUAUUUCGCUUAAUUAGCAAGCCAGUUUGUAGCCGGGCAAUCAUAAAUCUUGAUUGUGCAAUGUCAGCACAUUGUCUUUGGGCCAAGUUGCUCAGGGGCGAAUCUGACCACUGAUGGCUGAUAUUAAUUAAUGUGCACAUUGUCUCAUUCCAGUUGUUCAACAGCAAUUAAAUGCACCAACAUCCUCUAGUGAUUAAUUAAAGCAUAAAAUGAUUGAGUAUAGUUUAAUUAAACCACAACCCCAUGUCUGAUUGAAAAUACCGCUCAACCUGCUUCGCCAGUUUUACUUUUUCUCAUUUGCAGAGUUCCUUAAUUUAACGGUAAUAUUGAAAUGAAGUCACUGUCCUGAUCAUUUCUAAAGACAGUGACCUUUAUGAAAUGAUAGAUACUGCACUCGAAAAUUGCUGCUGCAGCAAAACGCCAAGAUGUACGUUUAUAUUUUUUGUAUGUUUGUUAUGUGAGAAAGGAAGAAAGGAAUUGAUUUGAAUUUCAUUAACAGUAUCAUAGAAACCACAGCUGGCAGGAGAAGAUAACGCUUUAGAAAGAUAAAUAAACAUUUGACCUUGAUUCUGAACACGCCAUCGAGACAAAGAGAGACUUGCAGCUAUCGUGUUGGGCAGACCGAUACUAACUCCUUACUGAGGCGUUCGGUAUCAGCGGGGAAAUUAGACAACACAAUGCAAAAACAACGCAGUGUGGUGCACCGCUAAGGGAACUCAUUAGAGCACUGCAGCAUAGGAGGAAGCCGCGUGAUGCUUUGCAGCAUGUCAUCAGGGGUGUUGAGGCAGAGUUGGCAGAUAUUGAAAUAUACUAUAAACGUCAGGUUUAAAAGAAUUGAACCAUCAGCAGUCUGGCUCAGCUCGUACUCGAAGUGGAUUUCACAGACAAAGAUCGGCCGUGUCCGAGUG